AUUGAACGCUGGCGGCAUGCCUUACACAUGCAAGUCGAACGGCAGCGGACCUUCGGGUGCCGGCGAGUGGCGAACGGGUGAGUAAUAUAUCGGAACGUACCUUUCAGUGGGGGAUAACGUAGCGAAAGUUACGCUAAUACCGCAUAUUCUGUGAGCAGGAAAGCAGGGGAUCGCAAGACCUUGCGCUGAUUGAGCGGCCGAUAUCAGAUUAGCUAGUUGGUGAGGUAAAGGCUCACCAAGGCGACGAUCUGUAGCGGGUCUGAGAGGAUGAUCCGCCACACUGGAACUGAGACACGGUCCAGACUCCUACGGGAGGCAGCAGUGGGGAAUUUUUGGACAAUGGGCGGCAAGCCUGAUCCAGCCAUGCCGCGUGAGUGAAGAAGG
RNAcentral lists this ribosomal RNA (384 nucleotides) under uncultured bacterium. RNAcentral describes it as "bacterial SSU rRNA". It matches the Rfam family "Bacterial small subunit ribosomal RNA", at positions 30 to 414 of the family's 1533-position model. The record is from RNAcentral.